RNAcentral lists this ribosomal RNA (425 nucleotides) under uncultured bacterium. RNAcentral's name for it is "partial 16S ribosomal RNA". It matches the Rfam family "Bacterial small subunit ribosomal RNA", at positions 354 to 796 of the family's 1533-position model. The record is from RNAcentral.
GUGGGGAAUAUUGGACAAUGGGCGAAAGCCUGAUCCAGCAAUGCCGCGUGAGUGAUGAAGGCCCUAGGGUUGUAAAGCUCUUUUACCCGGGAUGAUAAUGACAGUACCGGGAGAAUAAGCUCCGGCUAACUCCGUGCCAGCAGCCGCGGUAAUACGGAGGGAGCUAGCGUUGUUCGGAAUUACUGGGCGUAAAGCGCGCGUAGGCGGUUUUUUAAGUCAGAGGUGAAAGCCCGGGGCUCAACCCCGGAAUUGCCUUUGAAACUGGAAAACUUGAAUCUUGGAGAGGUCAGUGGAAUUCCGAGUGUAGAGGUGAAAUUCGUAGAUAUUCGGAAGAACACCAGUGGCGAAGGCGACUGACUGGACAAGUAUUGACGCUGAGGUGCGAAAGCGUGGGGAGCGAACGGGAUUAGAAACCCCAGUAGUCC